RNAcentral lists this ribosomal RNA (195 nucleotides) under uncultured Nitrososphaerota archaeon. RNAcentral's name for it is "uncultured thaumarchaeote partial 16S ribosomal RNA". It matches the Rfam family "Archaeal small subunit ribosomal RNA", at positions 726 to 920 of the family's 1478-position model. Lineage: Archaea; Thermoproteati; Nitrososphaerota. The record is from RNAcentral.
GGAUUAGAUACCCGGGUAGUCCCAGCUGUAAACGAUGCAGACUCGGUGAUGCACUGGCUAGUGGCCAGUGCAGUGCCGCAGGGAAGCCGUUAAGUUUGCCGCCUGGGAAGUACGUACGCAAGUUUGAAACUUAAAGGAAUUGGCGGGGGAGCACCACAAGGGGUGAAGCCUGCGGUUCAAUUGGAGUCAACGCCG